RNAcentral lists this ribosomal RNA (629 nucleotides) under uncultured Megasphaera sp. Its description in RNAcentral is "bacterial SSU rRNA". It matches the Rfam family "Bacterial small subunit ribosomal RNA", at positions 56 to 655 of the family's 1533-position model. The record is from RNAcentral. Lineage: Bacteria; Bacillati; Bacillota; Negativicutes; Veillonellales; Veillonellaceae.
UGCAGUCGAACGAGAGGAUGAGGAAGCUUGCUUCUUCAGAAUCGAGUGGCAAACGGGUGAGUAACGCGUAAACAACCUGCCCCCCGGGAUGGGGACAACAGCUGGAAACGGCUGCUAAUACCGAAUACGAUCAUACUGCCGCAUGGCAGCAUGAUGAAAGGAUGGCCUCUUAAAAAAGCUAUCGCACGGGGAGGGGUUUGCGUCUGAUUAGCUGGUUGGAGGGGUAACGGCCCACCAAGGCGAUGAUCAGUAGCCGGUCUGAGAGGACGAACGGCCACAUUGGAACUGAGACACGGUCCAGACUCCUACGGGAGGCAGCAGUGGGGAAUCUUCCGCAAUGGGCGAAAGCCUGACGGAGCAACGCCGCGUGAGUGAAGACGGCCUUCGGGUUGUAAAGCUCUGUUAUAUGGGACGAACGGCUGUGGGGCCAAUACCCCCGCAGCGUGACGGUACUGUAAGAGAAAGCCACGGCUAACUACGUGCCAGCAGCCGCGGUAAUACGUAGGUGGCAAGCGUUGUCCGGAAUUAUUGGGCGUAAAGGGCGUGCAGGCGGCUGAUCAAGUCUGUCUUAAAAGUGCGGGGCUUAACCCCGUGAUGGGACGGAAACUGAUUGGCUAGAGUGUCGGAGA